Molecule: long non-coding RNA, 1060 nt
Organism: Neogale vison (American mink)
Lineage: Eukaryota; Metazoa; Chordata; Mammalia; Carnivora; Mustelidae
Exons: 3
Source: RefSeq, a predicted model, not a curated record
UAAAAAUGUGAAAAAUACAGAAAACAAGGAAGUGAAUCAUCCAAAUGCAAUCAGAAGUGCAGUGUUUUUUAUCCUAAUUGUAAUCACAUUUUAUAUCUGACCAUGACCUUUUUAUGUUGUUGUUGUUGCUUAGCUGUGUGUGUCAUGCACCAUUUCCAGGCUACUGCAUGAGAAGGCCAACAUGUGUCUCCUAAUGUGUUUGGAUUCCUAGGUUCACCCUCAACUUCUCUGAAUCUCACAUGCCACUGAGGGGCCCCCCUCCAAUACCAUGGGGUGCCACCUCCUGAUCCCAUCCCCUUAGGGGGUGGGUUUCAACAUCUGAAUGGAGCGGGGCGCAGAUAUUCAGACCACGGUGUGCACAGCAUCAGAGAAGACCUGGAAACUGCAACCAGGAAGAGACCUCAUGCUCCCCGAAGGUCGAACACUACCAGCUCAAGUAUUUUCGGAUACACACUCAGAAGUGGGAUUGCUGGACGCUAUGGCCAUGCCGUUUUCCACAAGGGCCUCACCAUUGAAGACAUGCACAAGAGUUCUAAUUUCUCCAUCUCCUGACCGACACUGUUCCUUUCUGUUUUUUUUUUUUUCCAUAGUAGCCAUCUUGAAAAGUGGGACAUAAAUUUAUUUUUAAGUAUAAUUUCAUUUCACUCCGGUAAAGAAAACCUAUUUUCACUUGCCGUAAGUAGAAAGUAAAAAUAAAGUUUUCGCCUUCGCUGUCUAACCACCUUCCCACCUACCCCCAGUGGUGUUCAUACUCUUGAACUCCGGGCACAGCAGUGUGGGUUUCUCUGUUCCCUCCACCUGCUCUGUCCUUCCCCUGCUUCCCUUCGCCGGACUGAUGCUACCGAAAGCGAUAAGUCAGCACGUGCAGUAGGGAGAGUCCUACUUAUAAACUUCCGUGUAACAAACCACCCCAAAACUUCGCCCUUCAAACAACCACAAAUCCUUUCUUUUGCUCGGGAAUCUGCCCUUCAGCCAGGAUGUCUUGUGAUAUCCUAGGACUCAGCAGGGAUGACCCGACCGCUGGCAGAUUGGACUAGUAAGGGGCUGCCCAGGCCUUUCU